CUGACGAGUGGCGGACGGGUGAGUAAUGUCUGGGAAACUGCCUGAUGGAGGGGGGAGUAACUACUGGAAACGGUAGCUAAUACCGCAUAACGUCGCAAGACCAAAGAGGGGGACCUUCGGGCCUCUUGCCAUCGGAUGUGCCCAGAUGGGAUUAGCUAGUAGGUGGGGUAACGGCUCACCUAGGCGACGAUGCGUAGCCGACCUGAGAGGGUGACCGGCCACACUGGGACUGAGACACGGCCCAGACUCCUACGGGAGGCAGCAUG
Molecule: ribosomal RNA, 266 nt
Filed under: uncultured bacterium
Lineage: Bacteria
Description: partial 16S ribosomal RNA
Rfam family: Bacterial small subunit ribosomal RNA
Source: RNAcentral